RNAcentral lists this ribosomal RNA (782 nucleotides) under Arcella intermedia laevis. Its description in RNAcentral is "bacterial SSU rRNA". It matches the Rfam family "Eukaryotic small subunit ribosomal RNA", at positions 408 to 1188 of the family's 1831-position model. Lineage: Eukaryota; Tubulinea; Elardia; Arcellinida; Arcellidae. The record is from RNAcentral.
UACCACUUCCAAGGAAGGCAGCAGGCGCGCAACUUACCCUAAUCUCGAUUCGAGGAGGUAGUGACAAGAAAUACCGAUGCGGGACCCUACGGGUGCCGCGUUCGGAAUGAGUACGAUUCGAACCACCUAACGAGGAACGAUCGGAGGGCAAGUCUGGUGCCAGCAGCCGCGGUAAUUCCAGCUCCAAUAGCGUACGUUAAAGUUGCUGCAGUUAAAAAGCUCGUAGUUGAACGUUCGGGUUCCGCGGGACGGGGCCGCCCCGCGAGGGACGGCGCCGCCCCGGGGCUCGUGAUAUCUCAUCUCGCCGCCCGUCGCGAGGCGGACGGAGGGAUGGAUGAGGUUACCUGGAAAAAAUCGGGGCGAUCUAGGCGGGCGAACCUCGCCAACGAACGAUCGGACAUGGGAUAACGGAAGAGGGCGUCGGCUCGACUUCGUCGGUUCCUCGGGCCGAGGCACGUACGGUGAAUAGGGACGGUCGGGGCCGCCCGUACCGGGUCGUGAGAGGUGAAAUUCUAGGAUCGACCCGAGACGAACCGCCGCGAAAGCAUUCGGCAAGGACGCUUUCAUUAAUCAAGAACGAAAGUCGGGGGAUCGAAGACGAUCAGAUACCGUCGUAGUCCCGACCGUAAACGAUGCCGACCGAGGGCCCGGAGGAGUUACGUACGACCCUCCGGGCCCUCCCGCGAGAAAUCAGGAGUAUUCGGGUUCCGGGGGGAGUAUGGUCGCAAGGCCGAACUUAAAGGAAUUGACGGAAGGGCACCACCAGGAGUGGAAAUGUGCGG